AGUGAACGCUGGCGGCGUGCUUAACACAUGCAAGUCGAACGAGAACGGAUUAUAGCUUGCUAUAAUUGUCAGCUAAGUGGCGCACGGGUGAGUAAUGUAUAGGUAAUAUGCCUCUUACUAAGGGAUAACAAUUGGAAACGAUUGCUAAUACCUUAUACUCCUUGUUAACUUAAGUUAAUAAGGGAAAGAUUUAUUGGUAAGAGAUUAGCCUGUAUUGUAUCAGUUAGUUGGUGGGGUAAUGGCCUACCAAGACUAUGACACAUAACUGGUUUGAGAGGAUGAUCAGUCACACUGGAACUGAGACACGGUCCAGACUCCUACGGGAGGCAGCAGUGGGGAAUUUUCCGCAAUGGGCGAAAGCCUGACGGAGCAAUACCGCGUGAGGGAAGAAUGCCUAUGGGUUGUAAACCUCUUUUUUCUAGGGAGGAAUAAAAUAGACGUGUACCUGAAGAAUAAGCAUCGGCUAACUCCGUG
Molecule: ribosomal RNA, 474 nt
Filed under: uncultured bacterium
Lineage: Bacteria
Description: bacterial SSU rRNA
Rfam family: Bacterial small subunit ribosomal RNA
Source: RNAcentral